CUUUCUCAAAUUUUUCAUAAUCAUCAGCAUCUGAACCAUCGAUCUUCUCUUCUUUGUAAUUUCCACCAGACAGCAAAGAGCCCUUGGCACAUUCUUCCACAUUUAGCUUGGCUUGUCCAUGUUGAGCAGCAGCAGACUCAAGAUGCAGGUCCAAUGCGACCAUUUUGACUGUUUUUUAACCUCUGAAAGCUAUCACGUUGCAAACACAACACAAACACCUGCAAGUAUCAUGUAUUUAGCAGGACUGUCCUCAAUACAGAAUGCAGUCGGAGGUCCUAAAUUCAAGGAAACCACUGCGCACAGUUCUGGAAUGCCAUAUAAUGCCGAAGAUCAGGCAUCACAAAAGGUGAAAGCAACGCCGAACAGCUCCAGCAGCAAAAUCUCGAUAAACUGAUCACCCAACAAUCACAGAUAGCACUAACUAUCUGGACAGUGAGUCGAGAGGGGAAUAAUACUACUCGAUAGGUAUCCAUCCAGUCUCCAGAGAACUCCCAAGCAAUUCGAACACAGCAUCCAUCUGCACCAAAUUUACCGCGUUGUCCACCCCCAUUCUCUGGCAAGAGGAACACGUCAUAGCAUCAAAUGCCAGGAAAUGGGGAAGAAAAAAAAAAGAAACAUGAUUCUUUCAUGACAUGGUUUCGACGUGUUAGCAUGUACCACUCGUGCACGUUGUUAUACUGGGUUCAUUAAGACGUUAGAUUUCAAGGAAGCCUACCUCCAGAAGACAUCAGCUUCAUCUUCAAAAUCUCUAGUUAACAAGCACUUAUAUCCAUACGAGAUUUUCAAUCCAUUGAUUCUUUGAGCAGAAGUAUCUUGGAGAAAACCAGC
RNAcentral lists this long non-coding RNA (828 nucleotides) under Setaria italica (foxtail millet). RNAcentral describes it as "long non-coding RNA (SITA_LNC003958)". The record is from RNAcentral. Lineage: Eukaryota; Viridiplantae; Streptophyta; Magnoliopsida; Poales; Poaceae.